AUUUCUCACUCAAAUACUUGCUCCAAUGACAUGAUGUUCUCCAUCAGUGGUACAUUAUACCUCUCUUCGUUUCAUCGGUUUGUCACUAACCCAAAGAAGGCAGGCAUCAAUGAAACCACACUCCAACAGGUGGAGCCUGGAUUAGAUGAGUCGGAAACAAUGUACGCACUGCUGAUAACUAUUUAUUCCUACGGCGAACUUACAGGAGGAUUGCUGUCAGGUUUUUUAACUAAGUGCAUUCCGAAUUGGUACCAGUUUGUAUUUGCCAUAUCUCUGCACACGAUUGGCUACGUGUUAUACGGUGUUGCAACUAACGGUGGGAUACUAAUGAUCGGCAUGUUCCUGGCUGGAUACUAUUUGGGAGCACAAAUCACACUCAGUAUGAACUACGCAACAGAAAUGAGUGUUGAGUAUGUGAAUCUACUGAAGGAAGUAAUUUUAAGUACGAGAAGAAAGUGAUGAAAACUCGUAACUUCCUAUAUUCAGUCCACUCCAUUGGAUUCAGCAUUGGAUUUAUCAUUGGUCCUAGUGUUUCAGUAAUAUUUUCUAACCUUCCAAUUGAGCAGUAUCGAUCGAUUGCUUGGUUCAAUGUAGCUUUUGGAAUUAUAUUGUUAACCUUGUUCUGUUUUCUCUUCCGUGGAGAGAGUAAAUGGAACAGAACUAAUUGUCAUGAGAUUUGUGUCUGCUCAAAAAACAACUCAAGUUCAGCCAGGCCUGGACCACUGCAAAUAUUCAUAUCCUUUUAGCAUUAUAGCCAUGCAGAGCAUUAUAAUUAUACGAGACUCAGUCAAAAUUUGUGCAAACACACACAAUUGCACUGUCAAUCCUAUGUACACAGAGCCUAUAAUUAUACUAUAGUAAUCCUUAACACAAUACUUGUUUACAUUAUUGUGAGUAUGCACUUGCUAUCGUUUGUACAAAUGCUGAAGUGGGAAUAUUUUGAGGCCAUAAUGAAUCCAAUUCUAAGUGAUUCAUUUGGGUUCUCUCUAAACACAUCUUCCUACGUCUUUUUGGGGGUGGCUAUCUCAAGCAUUCUAGGAUCCAUCUUAGUGGUCUUGUUACAAAGAAUCAAAAUCAGCACACAGAUAGGAGCUUUUGUCGGUAUUUCAAUGACAAUUGCAGGAUAUUUCUUGGUAACAGAUUGGCAGACUAUACCUUAUGAUCCAUGCACUGAGUACAGUCCAUUCCACCAUCCGGAUCGCUUUCAAAACAACCACUCAAGUCUACGAAAACAUUUAGCUUUGGAUAAUACUCCCCCAAGUUGGCCUACUCUCUUAAAUAAUCGUGCACACAUGGAUGUUGAGUUGGAUUUUGGCGAUCGAACGUACACAGAAAUUGCUUACCACUUCAAUUUCAGCUGUUACAUUAAUGAAUUUUGCCCAUUUUGCACGGAGAAAUCUAUCAGUAAGCACCGGUGUUUGUCGUUUGUAAUUGAAGGUGAAAACGAAUCCUCAGAACAGGUGCUCGAGAUGUUUUCCUGUUCUUUAGCUCCUCCUUUACAAAAUAUUUGCCUUAGUAUUUCUCAUCAUCAAUCAACUGAUCCUGAGGGAAGUUGAAAAUUUAAAUCAAAAUCAUUUCGUGGCCGGCAUUCAAAGCUUAAUGGUACUCCCUCAAGAUGUGUACUCCACUGCAAGCAAUGCCUGUAUAAAUGCCAAUGUAUCAAUUAGUGGAGAGUGUCAUUGGAUACCGUUGUCAAGUGGUGAGGAAUGUGUGGAUUGUCCUCCUAUCUGCAGAGGAAAGCAACGGACACUACUGCUACCAUUGUAUCUGAUAGGGAUGGUGCUAUUGGUAGGAAGCCACACUAUUGUCUGGGUGAAUUUGGUGGCCAUAGCUAACAACCAGAGUCCUGAAAGUGUUCAGGGUAUUGUGAUAGGAAGUAUCAAUGGAGCAAAUGGACUUGCUGAGAGUAUCAGUCCUGUGGUUGUCGAUUUACUCUAUGAAAAGACAAAGAAAAGAACUUUCGUGCCAUCUAUUCUGUUUGCUCUGUUGCAUAUACCAUUUCUCAUAGAAAUCAUCGUAUUGUACAAACCCUUAGGACCUUCAUAUAAGCUCACUGAAUAUAGAUCCACUCUGCCCAAAGAACAAUCGUCUGAGAGAGAGUGUGAUUCUCCUUGAUGAUUGUCCUUGAUUUACUAAUAAUUCUUCAACAUUGAAAUGAUGUAUGAUUUUGUAUAGCCAGAGUAUUCCUGCAUUGACACUGUAG
This is a long non-coding RNA of Halichondria panicea, 2203 nucleotides long. RefSeq lists it as uncharacterized. The transcript has 6 exons. Lineage: Eukaryota; Metazoa; Porifera; Demospongiae; Suberitida; Halichondriidae. The record is from RefSeq and is a predicted model, not a curated record.